RNAcentral lists this transfer RNA (71 nucleotides) under Loxodonta africana (African savanna elephant). It matches the Rfam family "tRNA". From Rfam's summary of the family: Transfer RNA (tRNA) molecules are approximately 80 nucleotides in length. The record is from Rfam by way of RNAcentral. Lineage: Eukaryota; Metazoa; Chordata; Mammalia; Proboscidea; Elephantidae.
GCACUGGUGGUUCAGUGGUAGAACUCUUGACUUCUAUGCGGGAGACCCACGUUCAAUUCCUGGCCAAUCCA